AUGAACGCUAGCGGCAGGCCUAACACAUGCAAGUCGAGGGAGAAGCCCUUUCGGGGGCAGAAACCGGCGCACGGGUGCGUAACGCGUAUGCAACCUACCUUUCACAGGGGGAUAGCCCGAAGAAAUUUGGAUUAAUACCCCAUAAUAUUAUUGGAUGGCAUCAUUUGAUAAUUAAAACUGCGGUGGUGAAAGAUGGGCAUGCGUCCUAUUAGCUAGUUGGAGUGGUAACGGCACCCCAAGGCUACGAUAGGUAGGGGUCCUGAGAGGGAGAUCCCCCACACUGGUACUGAGACAGGGACCAGACUCCUACGGGAGGCAGCAGUGAGGAAUAGUGGUCAAUGGUCGGAAGACUGAACCAGCCAUGCCGCGUGCAGGAGGAAUGCCUUAUGGGUUGUAAACUGCUUUUAUAUGGGAAGAAUAAGGCGUACGUGUACGUUGAUGACGGUACCAUAUGAAUAAGCAUCGGCUAACUCCGUG
RNAcentral lists this ribosomal RNA (477 nucleotides) under uncultured bacterium. RNAcentral's name for it is "partial 16S ribosomal RNA". It matches the Rfam family "Bacterial small subunit ribosomal RNA", at positions 29 to 507 of the family's 1533-position model. The record is from RNAcentral.